Molecule: ribosomal RNA, 195 nt
Filed under: uncultured Streptococcus sp.
Lineage: Bacteria; Bacillati; Bacillota; Bacilli; Lactobacillales; Streptococcaceae
Description: partial 16S ribosomal RNA
Rfam family: Bacterial small subunit ribosomal RNA
Source: RNAcentral
UCAUCAUGCCCCUUAUGACCUGGGCUACACACGUGCUACAAUGGUUGGUACAACGAGUUGCGAGUCGGUGACGGCGAGCUAAUCCUCUUAAACGCCAAUCUCAGUUCGGAUUGUAGGCUGCAACUCGCCUACAUGAAGUCGGAAUCGCUAGUAAUCGCGGAUCAGCACGCCGCGGUGAAUACGUUCCCGGGCCUU